RNAcentral lists this ribosomal RNA (981 nucleotides) under uncultured bacterium. Its description in RNAcentral is "bacterial SSU rRNA". It matches the Rfam family "Bacterial small subunit ribosomal RNA", at positions 510 to 1502 of the family's 1533-position model. The record is from RNAcentral.
AGCCGCCGCGGUAAUACGAAGGGACCUAGCGUAGUUCGGAAUUACUGGGCUUAAAGAGUUCGUAGGUGGUUGAAAAAGUUGGUGGUGAAAUCCCAGAGCUUAACUCUGGAACUGCCAUCAAAACUUUUCAGCUAGAGUAUGAUAGAGGAAAGCAGAAUUUCUAGUGUAGAGGUGAAAUUCGUAGAUAUUAGAAAGAAUACCAAUUGCGAAGGCAGCUUUCUGGAUCAUUACUGACACUGAGGAACGAAAGCAUGGGUAGCGAAGAGGAUUAGAUACCCUCGUAGUCCAUGCCGUAAACGAUGUGUGUUAGACGUUGGAAAUUUUUUUUCAGUGUCGCAGCGAAAGCGAUAAACACACCGCCUGGGGAGUACGACCGCAAGGUUAAAACUCAAAUGAAUUGACGGGGACCCGCACAAGUAGUGGAGCAUGUGGUUUAAUUCGAAGAUACGCGCAGAACCUUACCAACACUUGACAUGUUCGUCGCGACUCUAAGAGAUUAGAGUUUUCGGUUCGGCCGGACGAAACACAGGUGCUGCAUGGCUGUCGUCAGCUCGUGUCGUGAGAUGUUGGGUUAAGUCCCGCAACGAGCGCAACCCUCACUUUUAGUUGCCAUCAUUUAGUUGGGCACUCUGAAAGAACUGCCAGUGAUAAGCUGGAGGAAGGUGGGGAUGACGUCAAGUCCUCAUGGCCCUUACGUGUUGGGCUACACACGUGCUACAAUGGUAUCUACAACAGGAAGCAAAACUGCGAAGUUAAGCAAAUCCUUAAAAGAUACCUCAGUUCGGAUUGCACUCUGCAACUCGAGUGCAUGAAGCUGGAAUUACUAGUAAUCGUGGAUCAGCGUGCCACGGUGAAUGCGUUCCCGGGUCUUGUACACACCGCCCGUCACACCAUGGGAGUUGGUUCUACCUUAAGGCAAGGUUUCAAACCCUUGACCACGGUAUAGUCAGCGACUGGGGUGAAGUCGUAACAAGGUAGCCG